RNAcentral lists this microRNA precursor (177 nucleotides) under Oryza meridionalis. RNAcentral's name for it is "MIR812 microRNA precursor family". It matches the Rfam family "MIR812 microRNA precursor family". Lineage: Eukaryota; Viridiplantae; Streptophyta; Magnoliopsida; Poales; Poaceae. The record is from Rfam by way of RNAcentral.
ACUGACUCAAUUCCUGAGUUUUCGUGCCUAAUAUUUUACUAAUUUUUUUAUGAUUAGUAUUUUUAUUGUUGCUAGAUGAUAAAACAUACGUAACUUAUGUUUUAAUUUUUUUCAUAAUUUUUUUAAAUAAGACGGAUGGUCAAACGUUGGACACGGAAAACCAGGAAUUAAGUUAUU